GUUCUGAUCGCCAUAGUUCGCAGUUUAAUCCUCAAGGAAGUAAAGAAGCACAGAGAGCACUGUGGGGAUGCUUGUGUGCCAGCCACCAUCAGGGUCUCAUAGAGAGGACGCAGCGGAUGCUGAAACGCAAGAGUAAAUGCUGAUGUGACUAACGGAGAGAAGAAAAAAUACCAGCACAGACUCAUUUGAGAGCAUACACCCAAUGACCUAAGACCCUCCCAGAAGACUCACCUCCUAAAGGCCACAGAACCUAUCAGUAAUACCAUCCUGGGGGCCUCGCACACCUGAGGGACACUAAGGAUCCAUACUUUAGAAACAAUGCAACAUCUGACGAUCGCACAGCUCGCUGGUUAUGCAGGUUUUCCCCUGACCUAGAAACCUCUUAGCAUAAAACUGGAAUAAGAAGGUGAUGUCUGUUACAGCUUCUUCCAUCUAUAAUGAAGUAAUUCUUUUGUU
Molecule: long non-coding RNA, 456 nt
Filed under: Rattus norvegicus (Norway rat)
Lineage: Eukaryota; Metazoa; Chordata; Mammalia; Rodentia; Muridae
Description: long non-coding RNA NONRATT016908
Source: RNAcentral